Clupea harengus (Atlantic herring) is the source of this 1423-nucleotide long non-coding RNA. The record is from Ensembl. NCBI's taxonomy places the organism in Eukaryota, Metazoa, Chordata, Actinopteri, Clupeiformes, Clupeidae.
UGAAGACUGGCACCUAUCUUCCUGCCAUCACUAGACAAUUAAUUUCUCACAACCAAAUUAACAAUGUAAAAAAAUAUUACAGCAUGGGCAAUCAUUCCUGCUUGCAGAUUGUGAAAAAAUGCAUUGCAGUGAGUGCUGCAGAUCACAGACAGCGUUCCACUGUAAGUAGUUUCUAUUUCAACUCUCUGUUCUGGCAACCUACCAGUAUCUAUUUUUGUUUUGUAAAGUUCACAGUUUUGUUUUCUUUUUUUUCUUUACAGGUGAUAGCAUUUUUUCUUGAGCUAAAAGAUUGGUGGAGAUGCAGUCUGAGUAUGAUCAGUCAGGAACCAGGCUUUAAUCUUGUACAGUGAUGCGCAUCAAGGGAGAUAGACAGAGGUUUCACUCAAAAGCUUCACCUAUGUCUCAUCUGGUCUGCCAUUGUAACACUUCAGUUUUUAUAUCCUACAUAGCAUAAGGGGUGUCACCCCAUAGCCCCAUCCCUCCAUAAAUAUGUAUCAGUCUGUGAAGGAACCGGAAUUAAGAUAUUUAUUGUUAAUAAGUAUAUGCCAUAGUCAAUAAUUCAAUGUAUCUUAUACCUAGUUAUAAUUGUUACUUGUAUUUGGGACUUAAGUUAAAAUGUAAUCAUUUCUGUUUAGAGAAGAGUUAUCUUGAGGGAGUGUAUUGAAUGUGUCAGCAGAUGGCUCAGAGACUUGUGUCUCCAAGAGCUCAUGAAUACUGAGGGUGACGCCCUUGGUUCGCAGAGAGUAUUUAACAAGCCCGCCUUCAAUGGAUAAAUCAGAUAAUCUUAGGUGAAGCUCUGGGCGAGUGGAACUUCAGCUCUGUCUCAACAAUGUGUGGCCACCAUUGUUCAAGAUUAAACCUGAAUCGUGACUGACAAAUCUAAGACUGGAUCUCCAAUAUAUGGUAUAAAAUUAAAUACUAUCAUCGGGAAACUCCACAACAUUUGUCGAUAGGGGAAAUUGAUUAAGAGAUCCAGCUGUGAGCAAAUGUCUCAGAGGCCUGUAUUUAUGGGGGACAACACAGCGUUUCACGCCCUCCUCAUAGACGCAUACACGUUGUGGUGUCGUCACUGGAAAACACAUAGUUGUAUUAGCGACAGGGUCUUUAAACUAUUUUAAUGGCAUGAAGUGACAUAUGCACUCAAGACAUAGUCAUCUUGGCCAAUGCCUUUGGGACGUUGUCUUUCCAUCGUAAUGGCAAUAGACAGACACCAGUAACUGGUGUUUUUGUCUGCACAGCAGCAGAGGCCAUAGUCAGGGAUAUUAUCAUGAGCUACUGUGCUAUAUUAAAGUUGCUUGUCAUAAGUGGGGCAUUGUGGUUCUCUCUCCAUUUCCUCCUUUAAAAGCAACACCUGUAAAUAAAUGUUAAAUGUAUUUAUUGAUAGCUCUACUUGUGGCUGUAAUGUGUCCUCAGCUCUCAGUAC